CUUGUUCCUUACGGAGGUGUAGAAAAUCUGUAGCAUGAUGUAAUGGAAUUAAGAAUGGGUCAAUGAAAUAUACAGCUCCUUUCUGGAAUGUACCUGUUCUGCUACAACCAUGGAUAUCCUGACCUUUCUGUGCCUUUCAGGGACAAGGGUAAUAGAGGAGUUUCAGACUCCCUCUAAAACAAAACAACAACUGAACAAUAAACAACAGAAAAAGAACACAAAAAAAGACGGUGGUACUCUUUCCCCUUUCCUUGCUUUCUCCUGCUACCAAAACAAACAACAAAAACUACAUUGUCUCAUUGGAUGACGAAGCUAAAAUUUUGUAGCAAAUCUAUAGAAGAAAAGAAGUGGAAAUCUACUCAAGAGCUACUGUAAAACACUGUAUACAAAACAACCACUUUGAUUCACAUUAAAAAGUGUUAUCUGUUUCUUUGAA
RNAcentral lists this long non-coding RNA (436 nucleotides) under Homo sapiens (human). RNAcentral describes it as "non-protein coding LINC00911:5". Lineage: Eukaryota; Metazoa; Chordata; Mammalia; Primates; Hominidae. The record is from RNAcentral.